GUGGGGAAUCUUAGACAAUGGGGGAAACCCUGAUCUAGCCAUGCCGCGUGAGCGAUGAAGGCCUUAGGGUUGUAAAGCUCUUUCAGCUGGGAAGAUAAUGACGGUACCAGCAGAAGAAGCCCCGGCUAACUCCGUGCCAGCAGCCGCGGUAAUACGGAGGGGGCUAGCGUUGUUCGGAAUUACUGGGCGUAAAGCGCACGUAGGCGGAUCAGAAAGUCAGAGGUGAAAUCCCAGGGCUCAACCUUGGAACUGCCUUUGAAACUCCUGGUCUUGAGGUCGAGAGAGGUGAGUGGAAUUCCGAGUGUAGAGGUGAAAUUCGUAGAUAUUCGGAGGAACACCAGUGGCGAAGGCGGCUCACUGGCUCGAUACUGACGCUGAGGUGCGAAAGCGUGGGGAGCAAACAGGAUUAGAAACCCUAGUAGUCC
RNAcentral lists this ribosomal RNA (425 nucleotides) under uncultured bacterium. RNAcentral's name for it is "bacterial SSU rRNA". It matches the Rfam family "Bacterial small subunit ribosomal RNA", at positions 354 to 796 of the family's 1533-position model. The record is from RNAcentral.